This is a non-coding RNA of Populus trichocarpa (black cottonwood), 94 nucleotides long. The record is from Rfam. Lineage: Eukaryota; Viridiplantae; Streptophyta; Magnoliopsida; Malpighiales; Salicaceae.
AUGGAAGUAAUGAUUAUUUCCCCAAAUGAUCAAUGCUGAAUAAACUGUGUGAUCUUUCUCUUUUCAGAGAAUCCAAGCCAUGAAUCUGAUCCAU